Molecule: long non-coding RNA, 4425 nt
Filed under: Piliocolobus tephrosceles (Ugandan red Colobus)
Lineage: Eukaryota; Metazoa; Chordata; Mammalia; Primates; Cercopithecidae
Description: lncRNA (ENSPTEG00000012205.1)
Source: RNAcentral
UAUAAAAAUGAUACAAAAUUUAACAGACAUUUGAAAAGAAAUGUUCGCCUCAAUAAUUUUUUUAGCAUUGUACAAAAUACAUAUGUAUUUAUGUACGUAUUUAUGCCCAUUCCAAAUGUCUUUAUGUUAUUUAUUUAUUUAUUUAUUUAUUUAUUCAUUUAUUCAUUCAUUUAUUUAUUUAUUUUUUUUUUUUUCAUAAAUAAGAAAAGUUGCAAUUUACACAUAUUGUAAUGUAAGCUUUAAUUUUAAUCAUAUGAUUCUUAAAACUCAACUUGUAAUAUAAAAGAAAAAAAAUAAGCUAAAAAAAAAAAUCUAGAAAUAUGCAUAAAAUAAACCCUAACUUGAACCCUAAUUUAAUCCUAUGUUUACCCUAAUUUAAUUCUAUUUGAACCCUAAUUUAAUCUUAUUUGAACCCUAAUUUAAUCCUAUUUUAACCCUAAUUUAAUUCUAUUUGAACCCUAAUUUAAUUCUAUUUGAACCCUAAUUUAAUCCUAUUUGAACCCUAAUUUAAUCCUAUUUGAACCCUAAUUUAAUCCUAUUUGAACCCUAAUUUAAUCCUAUUUGAACCCUAAUUUAAUCCUAUUUGAACCAUAGUUUAAUCCAAAAUAAAAUCCAAAUAAAGCUAAAAAUAAGCAAGCUUAACAAGUUCAAAGUCAGUAAAAACAAAAAGGGUUUAAUAGAAAAACGUCCAUUGUUUCAUGUUUUCUCCUAUUGUUAAUAUUUUACCCUUUAGUUCUUAUCAUAUAAUUUAGAUUUUAUUUCACUAGUUGAUUUAUAAAAUAUAUACUUUAUGUAACAUAAUGAGAAGUCUUUUAAAUUAUAAACAAGAAUUAGCAGAAUCAAGAGAAUAUGAAUUAGAAGUUGAAUCCGAAGCAGAGUCAGAGUCAGGAUCAGAGUCCGGUGUAGGAUCUAACAUGUACACAGAAACAUACACAGGUGCAUUUACAGGAGCAUAUACAGGAACAUAUACAGGGGCACAUCUAGGACCAUACACGCAAACCCAAGUAGAACCAUACGAAGAAACACAAUUGGACGUGUACGGUCAAACUAAUUUAGGGCCAUAUGCACACAUAAACUUAGAGGAAUACACACAAACGCACAGAAAAAAAAAACAAAGACAAUCCAUUGAAUCAUACAAUAAUAAUAAUAAUAAUAAUAAAAAGAAUAAAAAAAAGAAACUACGUGAUAGUACUAGUAGCAAUAUUCAUCGUAUUAAUGUUACUACUAAUGGCACUAAUAAUGAUCAUAUAAAAAGUAUAUACAGUAAUUCAUACAUUAACAUUUAUAAACCUACUAACCGUUAUAACGAAAUACAACACAAAUCAAAGCAUCAUAAAUUGCUACCUUGUGUUAUGGAAAUAAUAGAUGACGAUUUAUUUAUAUACAUCUUUGAUAAAAAUAAUAAUAAAAUAUGUUGGGAAUUUGAAAAGGGUAGUUACAUUUUGGGCAUAAAAGAAAACCAAGUGAAUGACGUAAAACCAUUGUCUAAAAAUGUUGACAAUCGAUAUCAUUAUAACGAUAAUGACAUUUAUACUGAUUAUUGUUUAUUGAAAAAUGACAAGCUAAAUGAUAUUUCUACACCAAGAAGUAAAAUUAAAGAGUCUAGUAGCUUUUUUUUUUCUUGUUUUACCAGGUUAUGUGAACCUACAGUAGAUCCAAAUAAAAUAGUACGUACUAACAGUACAAUAACAACAGCUCCAACGUUAUACAAUUUAUUUGAUGAUAAUGAAGAGACAUAUUUAUUACGUAAUUACGAUUCUAAAGAAAAAAAUGUCAAUUUUUUUUUUAAUAUAUCAAAAAAAUUUUGUAAUAUUUUGAACAAAAUGAAAGAAGGAUUAAAAAAAAGUGCAUGUCUGUGUAUUACAUAUAACAAUGACGAAUCAAACUGGGAGGAUAAAAUUUAUUGCAGGAGUAUACCAAAAUAUAUCGAAUUAUAUAUAAAAAUCAAACCUUCUAUUAUACGUCAUUUGCAAAAUCGAAUGACUAUAAAUGAUUGCAUCUGCAAAAACAAUAAAAAAAAAAAUUUAUUAUUAAUUAAUGAAGAUAUAAGAAAGAUAUCAUUUAGCAACGCUCUAUUUUUUGAAUACCCUAAUAAAUUAGUUAAAAAUUACAAAUGUGAUAUUUUUUCACUAAAUGAUUGGUAUCUUCAAAAAUAUUUAUUUAAAGAUGACAACAAAAUUAAAAUGUAUGCUGAAUGUACAAAUGAUUAUAAUUUUUCCAAACUAAACGAAAUUUCCUUUACAGAUAAAAUGCAAUUUCUAAAAAAUGAAAUUUGGUAUGAACUUAAUUUAUUUACAUACGAUUUUUAUAAAAAUAAAAUAGAGCAGUUAAUAAAAAACAACCAUAAUUUCAUACAAGAAGAAACUCAAAGGUUUUUUUAUGAAGAAAUUGAUGUAUGUAAAGAAGAAGAAUAUGAACAAACUCAUGGAGAAUAUUCGGUAAACGAAAAUGGUGAAAUAAGUUAUAAUAUAAAUACAAAUAUAUACGAUUUAACUAAUCAAACAAGUGAAAAAUGGGCAUUUGAUCCGAUAGAAGAAAAUUAUGUUCGAGUAGAUAUAAACGAAACAAAAGAAGAACCAAAAUCUUUUUUAAGUAUAUUUAAAGGAAUAGAAAAAAUCACAACAAAUAAAUCGCUUAAACAAAAAAAUUUAGAAGAUAUAAAUAUCUGUGUACAUAAAGAAUUAAUAUUUUAUGAUAAAAACUUAAAAUUCUUUUGUAAAUAUGUUGGGCAUAUAAAAAAUAAAUUAUAUAAUGGUAAAGGAAAGUUAUACGAUAAAUUUAAUACUCUUAUAUAUGAUGGAGACUGGUUAAAUGGAAAAAAAAAUGGAUGUGGAAAACUGAUUUUUAAAUAUCUAAACAUUUGGUAUUUAUUUGAAGGUUAUUUUUUUAAUGAUGAAAUAGUAGGAAAAGGGAUCAUUUCAUUAAUAGAUAAAGAAUAUGUAAAACGGAUAGGCCAAAGAAAAAUCGACAAACUAUGUCCUCUUUUGAUUAAAGUUAAUUUUGGAAAACACAAGUUAAAAAAGAGAGAAACGAGUGAAAAUGUUAACGUUGGUGUGGGUGUGGGUGUGGGUGUGGGUGAUAAUGCAAAUGAUGAAGAAAGCGCUUACGAAAAAAAAAGUACAAGUAGUAUUAGUAACACAUGCCAAACAGGUAAUAAUAGUAGUUUAAGUGAGCCAAAUGUUAGUAACAACCUUCAUGCUUUGAGUAAUACUAACAACACUCUUGACGCAAGUAGUAACAAUGAUGGUAUACAUGACAAACGUGGUAGUAAUAAUAAUGGCACGCAUAAUACGAGUAGUAGUUAUAGUGAUAGUGGAAGUAAUUAUGAAAAUGAUACUUCUGCAACAAUGAAAAGGACGCAGGCAGGUGCGGCAAAAUAUGAUUCGGCACAAUAUGAUGCGACAACAACAGAUGCGACAACAACAGAUGCGACAACAACAGAUGCGACAACAACAGAUGUGACAACAACAAAUGUGACAAAAACAAAUGCGACAACAACAGAUGUGAUGAUAGUUGAUGCGAAAAAAACAAAAGAAAUCGCGAAAAAGAAAAGAAGAGAAAAAAAAAAUAAAAAACUAAUCGAACUAAUUGAAAACACUGUGAUGGAAAAUUACAGUGAAAUAAAUAAUGUCGACUUUUGGCCUCAAAAAAUUAUAGAUAUAUUUUUUCCUUAUUUAAAAAAAUGGGAUAUAUAUUCUUUUUAUUGUUCAAGUAAUAUAGAACAUGUAAAUAGUAAAAAAAUUAGUUUCCAAACAAAUGGAAACUAUUUUAGAAAUCUAAUUGGUUACCCUUCUUUUGAAUUACAAAAUGGAGAAAACGAUUUAAUGAUGCCUAUGAAAAGUAGCAUUGAUGGGGGAGAUUUUGGUGAGGAAAUUGGUUAUUGGGGUUACUCAUCAUAUGGUCUUGAUGGUGCCUAUACGCGUAAACCACUUCGUUCAGCAUCAGCUGAGCUUAUUCGUGUUGCAACGGCUAACCUUAUUCGUUCGAGGUCAGCUGCCCUUGCACGUUCUUCGACAGCUGGGUCUAUCCCUACACCACCAAUUCGACUGUUUGGUGCAACCAUGUAUGAUAAUAUGACAGAUGAGUUAAAAAAAAGAGGUAAAGACGUGGAGCAAAAAGUGGAGCAAAAAGUGGAGCAAAAGGUGAAGCAAAAAGUGGAGCAAAAAGUGGGUUCGAAGUUAAAGGCGGGUUCGUACGUUCAAGUGAGUAAAAAUACUGGAGCAGCUACAAGCUUUGGAACGGGUAUAAUGGCCAAACCGAGAGUAGUAGUCAACCAAGGAAGCAGAAAUGUUGGAGUAGUAGACCCGCAGUCACAAAACAUAUUUGGUGCGUCGCAAAUGUAUGACGUAGGAAAAAAAGAAAAAGGCACUAACAGUCUUAUCCAACUAAGUGAAAACUGUAACUUACUAUAUAAAGAAUUUGUCG